This 253-nucleotide ribosomal RNA is filed under the name uncultured bacterium. RNAcentral describes it as "partial 16S ribosomal RNA". It matches the Rfam family "Bacterial small subunit ribosomal RNA", at positions 524 to 776 of the family's 1533-position model. The record is from RNAcentral.
UACGAAGGGUGCAAACGUUGCUCGGAAUUAUUGGGCGUAAAGCGCACGUAGGCGGCUUAGCAAGUCGGAAGUGAAAUCCCUCGGCUCAACCAAGGAAGUGCUUUCGAAACUGCUGAGCUUGAGUACUAAAGAGGAUCGCGGAAUUCCCGGUGUAGAGGUGAAAUUCGUAGAUAUCGGGAGGAACACCAGUGGCGAAGGCGACUCGCUGGACAGGUAUUGACGCUGAGGUGCGAAAGCGUGGGGAGCAAACAGG